Physcomitrium patens is the source of this 1689-nucleotide non-coding RNA. Lineage: Eukaryota; Viridiplantae; Streptophyta; Bryopsida; Funariales; Funariaceae. The record is from RefSeq and is a predicted model, not a curated record.
AUGGCGAGUUUGCCCGCAGUGACGUGCGUUGCGAGGCCCAUUUUCUUCAUUGCAUGAUGCAGCUCUGAUGCUGGAUCGGUGUAGCGUGAAGCACUUGCACUGUGUCCAUGCAGAUUUGAUACUGAACUGUGAAGGGGGAAGUCUGCUUAUCGUUCUGUAUCCUCGCCUCGUUUUCACCCGAAAUAUAAAGAAGAUACAGCUUCGAUAAACACCGAGUUGGCAGUAUAGACUAUGUCGAGAGAAGCAAACUACUACACCAAUCCCUUUACGUGCGCUGUCAGUUAUGAAUUUCGACACAAUUCCUUCUCACAGUAGUUAGCAGAUAAAAUAGGCUGGUAUGUAUGCAAAAUUUCUCAACAGCAGGGUUGCUAGUGUGAGAGUGCUUUUUGGUGGGGGGAAUAUCUUUAAUGUUCCAGGUCGAUCUUGUCACGCUGUUUUCUCGUCACUUCCUCUUUGUGGCAUGCGAUCUUGAUUGAUUCUAGAAAAGAUAGAUUUAUCAUUCAACUGCGUUCCGUAAUUUGGAUUGAUAAACGUGAAAAAUUCAUUGAAGGAAUGUUGUGUGGUAAAUGUUUGAUACCCUCAGCAUUGCGUCGAAUUUUGAACCUCUGAGAUCUGGGAGCUUCAUAGUGGACCCGUGCACCGAAUGUGUUGUAAUGAUGGGAGUUAGAUACUCUUGAAUUAAAACCUCGUAAUUAAUCACAAGCUUGUACGUCGUGUUGAAGUGAAUCUAAAGUCUAAACUCCUUUCAGCACGAGCGACAUCUUCUGACACGAUGAGAAACUCUAAGUAUUAUUUUUAUUUCAAGAACGGUCUCCAUUGUCACCUGUAAAUUUGUGUUUAUUUAAAAUCUCUCUCUGUUGUCUUUCUAAAUAAUUCUUUUAUCCUCUCUGUCUCAUUGCAGGAUGCGGGUGACAAUUCUGCAAAGCUGUGGCGCAGAAAUUCUGCAUGGGACGAUUAGCUGCUCGGGAAUUUAAGUGACACGUGGGAGAAGUGUGGCUCAAGUUUGUUGCUGUCCAAUAUUAGUUGAAGAGAAAUUUGUCGUGGGUUGCAAUUGCUGCAUCUGAGAAGCAACGGAGACGGUCAACAAGCUCAUGGUUAGAGUUUGUUGACACAUGGAAUUUAGAGGGGCCGAAAGCAGUGUGAUUUCAAGCGGCAAACUCUACUUUCAGCUGAAAAGCGGAUUCACGAUCAUCCAUUGUCACGAGCCUCAUUCGCGAUUAGAGCUGUGAAAUUGUUUGAAGUGCAUUGGUUUAAAACUUCUAUUUGUCGAAGACCUUUCAUGAAUGAGCAAGCUCGUAGGCGCAGUUUUCUGCCCAAAUUGCACCAGUCCAAGGAAAUUUAAUUGCAGGGGUACAGGUAUUCUUCAUUAUUACGGGCGAAUAUGAAAUUAAGUGCGUUGUUCUUAAUCGAGCAGAGAUUUAAUUGCAAAAGUAAGGAAGGAUCUGAAAGCAAAAAAUUUAUGGAUCUGAGCUGUGUUAUUAGGUUCCAACACAUGCAUGGCGAUUGUUUGUAGCACUAAAAGGUCGGACAAGCAUAAUGUUGAUUUGCUUUUUAGUCCCCUUGCACUAUUGUCUGGAUCUCACUGCUGCGCUGAAUUACUAUGCAAAUUAACAGACUCCGGAUGGGACUUUACAUAUGACGGACUCCUUUGUUCGAAGUUUCUUGAAUAAUUUCACAUCCAAGUGUCUA